GGUGACAUAGCCAAGCGGUAAGGCAUAGGUCUGCAACACCUUGAGCGGCGGUUCAAAUCCGCCUGUCACCUCUA
RNAcentral lists this transfer RNA (74 nucleotides) under Butyrivibrio hungatei. Its description in RNAcentral is "tRNA_Cys_GCA". It matches the Rfam family "tRNA". Rfam says of the family: Transfer RNA (tRNA) molecules are approximately 80 nucleotides in length. The record is from RNAcentral. RNAcentral also lists the same sequence under 6 other names. Lineage: Bacteria; Bacillati; Bacillota; Clostridia; Lachnospirales; Lachnospiraceae.